Molecule: ribosomal RNA, 273 nt
Filed under: uncultured prokaryote
Description: partial 16S ribosomal RNA
Rfam family: Bacterial small subunit ribosomal RNA
Source: RNAcentral
UACGGAGGGUGCGAGCGUUGUCCGGAAUCACUGGGCGUAAAGGGCGCGUAGGCGGCCGAGCAAGGUCGCGGUGAAAGCCCGGGGCUCAACCCCGGGUCGGCCGUGGCAACUACUCGGCUCGAGCUCUGUAGGGGCGGGUGGAAUUCCGGGUGUAGCGGUGGAAUGCGUAGAGAUCCGGAAGAACACCGGUGGCGAAGGCGGCCCGCUGGGCAGGAAGAGAGGGGCAACCCUCUCGGCUGACGCUGAGGCGCGACAGCGUGGGGAGCAAACAGG